Molecule: ribosomal RNA, 967 nt
Filed under: uncultured bacterium
Lineage: Bacteria
Description: bacterial SSU rRNA
Rfam family: Bacterial small subunit ribosomal RNA
Source: RNAcentral
UAAUACGUAGGUGGCGAGCGUUGUCCGGAAUUACUGGGCGUAAAGGGCGCGCAGGCGGGUUUUUAAGUCAGAUGUGUAAUCUACAGGCUCAACCUGUAGUUUGCAUCUGAUACUGGAAAUCUUGAGGGUAGGAGAGGACAGUGGAAUUCCUAGUGUAGCGGUGAAAUGCGUAGAUAUUAGGAGGAACACCAGUGGCGAAGGCGGCUGUCUGGCCUACAACUGACGCUGAGGCGCGAAAGCGUGGGUAGCGAACAGGAUUAGAUACCCUGGUAGUCCACGCCGUAAAUCGAUGGGUACUAGGUGUAGGAGGUAUCGACCCCUUCUGUGCCGGAGUUAACACAAUAAGUACCCCGCCUGGGGACUACGGCCGCAAGGCUAAAACUCAAAGGAAUUGACGGGGGCCCGCACAAGCGGUGGAGCAUGUGGUUUAAUUCGACGCAACGCGAAGAACCUUACCAGGGCUUGACAUCCUCUGAUGUCCAUAGAGAUAUGGAGUUUGAUCUUCGGAUUGACAGAGAGACAGGUGGUGCAUGGUUGUCGUCAGCUCGUGUCGUGAGAUGUUGGGUUAAGUCCCGCAACGAGCGCAACCCUUAUUCUUAGUUGCCAGCAUUAAGUUGGGCACUCUAAGGAGACUGCCGGUGACAAACCGGAGGAAGGUGGGGAUGACGUCAAAUCAUCAUGCCCUUUAUGUCCUGGGCUACACACGUGCUACAAUGGCCUGUACAGAGGGUAGCGAAGCUGUGAAGUGGAGCCAAUCCCAAAAAGCAGGUCUCAGUUCGGAUUGUAGGCUGCAACUCGCCUACAUGAAGUCGGAAUCGCUAGUAAUCGCGAAUCAGCAUGUCGCGGUGAAUACGUUCCCGGGCCUUGGUACACACCGCCCGUCACACCACGAAAGUUGACAACACCCGAAGCCGGUGUACUAACCGUAAGGAAGAAGCCGUCGAAGGUGGGGCCGAUGAUUGGGGUG